Molecule: ribosomal RNA, 465 nt
Filed under: Vreelandella stevensii
Lineage: Bacteria; Pseudomonadati; Pseudomonadota; Gammaproteobacteria; Oceanospirillales; Halomonadaceae
Description: partial 16S ribosomal RNA
Rfam family: Bacterial small subunit ribosomal RNA
Source: RNAcentral
CCUACGGGGGGCAGCAGUGGGGAAUAUUGGACAAUGGGGGCAACCCUGAUCCAGCCAUGCCGCGUGUGUGAAGAAGGCCCUCGGGUUGUAAAGCACUUUCAGUGAGGAAGAACGCCUGGUGGUUAAUACCCAUCAGGAAAGACAUCACUCACAGAAGAAGCACCGGCUAACUCCGUGCCAGCAGCCGCGGUAAUACGGAGGGUGCGAGCGUUAAUCGGAAUUACUGGGCGUAAAGCGCGCGUAGGUGGCUUGAUAAGCCGGUUGUGAAAGCCCCGGGCUCAACCUGGGAACGGCAUCCGGGACUGUGAGGCUAGAGGGCAGGAGAGGGAGGUAGACACCCCGGUGGAGCGGUGAAAUGCGUAGAGAUCUGGAAGAAGAGCAGUGACGAAGGCGGCCUUCUAGACUGUCACUGACACUGAGGUGCGAGUGCGUGGGUACCCCACCGGAUCAGAUACACUAGUAGUA